Molecule: ribosomal RNA, 1052 nt
Filed under: uncultured bacterium
Lineage: Bacteria
Description: bacterial SSU rRNA
Rfam family: Bacterial small subunit ribosomal RNA
Source: RNAcentral
CUGCGAGGCUACCAUGCAAGUCGAGCGGAAACGAGUUAUCUGAACCUUCGGGGAACGAUAACGGCGUCGAGCGGCGGACGGGUGAGUAAUGCCUAGGAAAUUGCCCUGAUGUGGGGGAUAACCAUUGGAAACGAUGGCUAAUACCGCAUGAUGCCUACGGGCCAAAGAGGGGGACCUUCGGGCCUCUCGCGUCAGGAUAUGCCUAGGUGGGAUUAGCUAGUUGGUGAGGUAAGGGCUCACCAAGGCGACGAUCCCUAGCUGGUCUGAGAGGAUGAUCAGCCACACUGGAACUGAGACACGGUCCAGACUCCUACGGGAGGCAGCAGUGGGGAAUAUUGCACAAUGGGCGCAAGCCUGAUGCAGCCAUGCCGCGUGUGUGAAGAAGGCCUUCGGGUUGUAAAGCACUUUCAGUCGUGAGGAAGGUAGUGUAGUUAAUAGCUGCAUUAUUUGACGUUAGCGACAGAAGAAGCACCGGCUAACUCCGUGCCAGCAGCCGCGGUAAUACGGAGGGUGCGAGCGUUAAUCGGAAUUACUGGGCGUAAAGCGCAUGCAGGUGGUUUGUUAAGUCAGAUGUGAAAGCCCGGGGCUCAACCUCGGAAUAGCAUUUGAAACUGGCAGACUAGAGUACUGUAGAGGGGGGUAGAAUUUCAGGUGUAGCGGUGAAAUGCGUAGAGAUCUGAAGGAAUACCGGUGGCGAAGGCGGCCCCCUGGACAGAUACUGACACUCAGAUGCGAAAGCGUGGGGAGCAAACAGGAUUAGAUACCCUGGUAGUCCACGCCGUAAACGAUGUCUACUUGGAGGUUGUGGCCUUGAGCCGUGGCUUUCGGAGCUAACGCGUUAAGUAGACCGCCUGGGGAGUACGGUCGCAAGAUUAAAACUCAAAUGAAUUGACGGGGGCCCGCACAAGCGGUGGAGCAUGUGGUUAAUUCGAUGCACGCGAAGACCUUACUACUCUUGACUCCAGAGACUUUCCAGAGAUGGAUUGGUGCUUCGGGACUCUGAGACGGUGCUGCUGGCUGUCGUCAGUCGUGUUGGGAAUGGUGGUUAAGUC